RNAcentral lists this ribosomal RNA (197 nucleotides) under uncultured bacterium. Its description in RNAcentral is "partial 16S ribosomal RNA". It matches the Rfam family "Bacterial small subunit ribosomal RNA", at positions 328 to 539 of the family's 1533-position model. The record is from RNAcentral.
ACGCUCGACACCUACGGGAGGCGGCAGUGGGGAAUAUUGCACAAUGGGGGAAACCCUGAUGCAGCGACGCCGCGUGAGCGAAGAAGUAUUUCGGUAUGUAAAGCUCUAUCAGCAGGGAAGAAACUGACGGUACCUGACCAAGAAGCACCGGCUAAAUACGUGCCACAGCCGCGGUAAUCUGAGCGGGCUGGCAAGGC